UAUGUACAUGGCUACAACGUUAAUGAACCAUAUCCCAUUAUAAGUCCAUAGUUAAGAAUGCUUAGGCUUGAUUAGUACCAGGAUGGGUGACCUCUUAGGAAAUCCUAGUGUUUGACAUGC
This is a non-coding RNA of Picea glauca (white spruce), 120 nucleotides long. NCBI's taxonomy places the organism in Eukaryota, Viridiplantae, Streptophyta, Pinopsida, Pinales, Pinaceae. The record is from Rfam.